GUGUCACAUAAAAGGAGAGAAGGUUAGCAACUCCCCUUGACAAGGAUAGAAGAGGCUCUCAGGCCUGACAACACACAUAUGUUUAAAAAAAUUCUUUGU
Molecule: non-coding RNA, 99 nt
Filed under: Ochotona princeps (American pika)
Lineage: Eukaryota; Metazoa; Chordata; Mammalia; Lagomorpha; Ochotonidae
Source: RNAcentral